GCGAUUUUUACUGGUUUGAUCCUCUUAAUCUGUCUUCUCAAUGUUGUAUAAAUGCAAAAAAUUCACCGAAAAACAAUUGUGUUCGUAAUCAAGAACUAUUUUAUAUAGAAAAUAGCAGUUGCCUUUUAAGUUUGUGAAGGCAGCUUAGAGUAGAGAAGUGGCAGUAUCCGUGUAGCCUCUUGUAGAAGCGGUGUUAUAAAACAGCAGUAAGCAUGUCGAUUUUGAAUACUGUGCAAUAAAUUCGGUGGUGGGGAAGACAAAAUUUAAGUAAAAAUUCAAUAAUCUAAGCACAGAGGAGAGAAGAGAGAGGUCUACAGGAAAAUGGAGCAGCUGCGAUGGUCUAAGCGGGAUAUCUAUGAAUAUGUCCCACACGUAGCUCGAAAAAAAGAAAAGCAACUCUAAAUUUGGAGAGUUCAAGCAAUUUGUAUGUCGAGCUCGGUAGCGUGAGCUUGUAACCCUAGUGGGGACACGUAAGGUGGAGGAACAGGCGGGUCUAAGGCCGGCAGGAGGGAAGAUGCGUGGCAUAUAAUGUGGCGCGCCCUGAUCCAAGUAGAGAGUUGUUGUGAGGCCCUCCCUCGAAGGAAGGAGGUUCUGUCUCGCAGCGUAAGGCGGAGGAGACCGCGUGAGGCUGGUUUCACAGAGCAACGACUACCUCCCGCUCCUUACAGUGGAAGGAUUACGUGCCGCUUGCCCCUCUGACCAUUAAUCCUCCCGGCCUGCCCAUCCUCGAACCCCCACCAUUUGCACAAAAUUUUAUUUGCCAUGAAUAGAUGAGGAGCGUGAUUGAAUGAUACUGAGAUGCUGAACGGAUUUCUUUCGAUGAAGAAUAUCUGGCAAUGAUGAAGAACUUUGGUAGACAACAACGAUCUAGAUGGCUUCCUAGAGUUUCAACUCAUUUGUCAGGUUUCUGAGCAGGGAUAUGACUAUAGGGAGGCAUUAAGUUAGAGCAUACUUUUCCAUGAAGCUCAGAGAGUCAGAGGUCGGGGAAGCUUCCCCUCACUCAGAGGGUUAGAUUCUAGACUCAGCGAUGGAGGUGCCAAUGGGAUCGAUUUAACUGGUGGAGAGAAAAUGUUAAGUUUGCUCUUCCAAUGGCAUAUGCUGUCACCAUGCUAGCCCUGAGUGCGAUUGAGUAUAGAAAACAAUAGUAAGAUAGUGGAGAGCUGGUCAAUUUCCUGGAGGCCAUAAAAUUGGGUACUCAUUACCUCUUUUAAAAGCUAGAUGUAUUGUAUGGGCAAGUUAGUGAUGGCAUUUCAGACCAUGACUGUUGGCAGAGACAACUCCAGUGGAAAGAAUUUGCAAUGCCCAAAUGGAAAUGCAGAGCCCUCUGAUUUCCUAGCCUUGGCUAAAUCACUAGUUGAUUAUGUACUUGGUGAAAACCCAGGAGCCAUUAGCUACUGAUCACCAAAAUUAAAUGAGCAUAUGAUAUAAGGGGAUCAAACCAUGUAUUUCAGAUGGGUUUGGAUUAUGUUAAUCUUCUCACUUCUCAUUCUUGGUUUGCAGAUUGAUCUACGAGUCUCUGUGUUUCUGUAGUCAAUGUAAUCAAUGUCAAAAUUCAAAUAAAACAAAUUAUUGAUUUA
This is a long non-coding RNA of Cryptomeria japonica (Japanese cedar), 1577 nucleotides long. RefSeq lists it as uncharacterized. The record is from RefSeq and is a predicted model, not a curated record. Lineage: Eukaryota; Viridiplantae; Streptophyta; Pinopsida; Cupressales; Cupressaceae. The transcript is spliced from 2 exons.